RNAcentral lists this long non-coding RNA (712 nucleotides) under Homo sapiens (human). RNAcentral describes it as "non-protein coding lnc-MUT-2:1". Lineage: Eukaryota; Metazoa; Chordata; Mammalia; Primates; Hominidae. The record is from RNAcentral.
CACAGAAACAGAGAUUGAAGUAAUGAGGCUACAAAUCAAGACGUUUUCAGAAAAUUCUUCCUGCCAAGCUGUGGUCAAGUGUGUCACAUGAGUAGUAAACUUAUAAAUGUGCCUGUCUGUGCUCUAACUACCUGCUGCAGAAUGCUGGGCUGCACUUCCUUCCAAACUGCUGCAGCCAGCCUGCCAUCUUCCUCUUCUUUUUCCUCCUCAUCCUCUGCCUAUAUCUACUACACCUCCACUACUGGGCUAGCUCAGAAAAUCCAAUCUCACUAAAGCAUUUCACGCUGGAUCAUUAGUAAGAGAUGGACCCAUACAGAUUACAGUUAAAAUCUACUGACUGUGACAUUAAAGAAGACACAGAAUUUCAAUGGAAGGGAAAGCCUGUACCAUCACCAAAGGCAUGGAAUCCACUAGUUACUGUCUUGAACCUGCAGUAUGUUAUCCUAAAACCUAACUGUAGUGUUAGCAGCCCAAGUUACAAAUGUCUUAAUUAUUCCUACUAAAAGCCAGAUAGAUGGGAAGAAACUGCUGACAAAAGUCGAUGUAGAGAGGAGCCCAGGUAGAACCUCUCUUUUCAAUACAGAAAAUAUGGAAACAGAAACUGGACUGAUCCCAGUAAUAACCUGGCCCUUGAGGAGAAAGUUACAGCAGGCUCACCCUAGAGGCCCAACACACACACUGCCACUUUCUACAAUAGCUUUAAUGAAUGAGA